Molecule: ribosomal RNA, 251 nt
Filed under: uncultured bacterium
Lineage: Bacteria
Description: partial 16S ribosomal RNA
Rfam family: Bacterial small subunit ribosomal RNA
Source: RNAcentral
UACGUAGGUGGCAAGCGUUGUCCGGAAUUAUUGGGCAAAGCGCGCGCAGGUGGUUUCUUAAGUCUGAUGUGAAAGCCCACGGCUCAACCGUGGAGGGUCAUUGGAAACUGGGGAACUUGAGUGCAGAAGAGGAAAGUGGAAUUCCAAGUGUAGCGGUGAAAUGCGUAGAGAUUUGGAGGAACACCAGUGGCGAAGGCGACUUUCUGGUCUGUAACUGACACUGAGGCGCGAAAGCGUGGGGAGCGAACAGG